UUGGAGGGCAAGUCUGGUGCCAGCAGCCGCGGUAAUUCCAGCUCCAAUAGCGUAUAUUAAAGUUGUUGCAGUUAAAAAGCUCGUAGUUGAAUUUUGGAUUCUGCCAGUUGGUCCAUCUUUUGAUGAGUACUGAUUGUGUAGGGUCUAUCCGCCUGGUGAUACGUAAUGUACUUUAUUGUAUGUUACGGGUAGUCAGGACCUUUACCUUGAAAAAAUUAGAGUGUUUAAAGCAGGCUUAUGCCGGAAUACAUUAGCAUGGAAUAAUAGAAUAGGACGAAGUUGUUUUAUUUUGUUGGUUUCUAGGACAACCGUAAUGAUUAAUAGGGAUAGUUGGGGGCAUUAGUAUUCAAUUGUCAGAGGUGAAAUUCUUGGAUUUAUUGAAGACUAACUACUGCGAAAGCAUUUGCCAAGGAUGUUUUCAUUAAUCAAGAACGAAAGUUAGGGGAUCGAAGACGAUCAGAUACCGUCGUAGUCUUAACCAUAAACUAUGCCGACUAGGGAUCGGGCGAUGUUGUUUCCAUGACUCGCUCGGCACCUUAUGGGAAACCAAAGUGUUUGGGUUC
This 563-nucleotide ribosomal RNA is filed under the name uncultured Glomeromycotina. RNAcentral's name for it is "SSU rRNA". It matches the Rfam family "Eukaryotic small subunit ribosomal RNA", at positions 548 to 1114 of the family's 1831-position model. The record is from RNAcentral. Lineage: Eukaryota; Fungi; Glomeromycota.